Molecule: long non-coding RNA, 815 nt
Organism: Chlorocebus sabaeus (green monkey)
Lineage: Eukaryota; Metazoa; Chordata; Mammalia; Primates; Cercopithecidae
Source: RefSeq, a predicted model, not a curated record
UUGGUGCAUGACUGUAGAAAUUUAAGCAAUGAUGAAAACGCUCUACAUCUACACUGUCCAAUACGGUAACCACUAGCCACUUGUGACUACUGAGUAUCUGAAAGGUUCUGCUUGAAUUCUUGCCCUGGCUCUUGGCGAAGGGUCGCCCUGCCUGGAUCUGAGUCAUCCACCUAUAAGAGGGACACCACCACACAUUGGUCACUGCUCUCAAGCCCCUGGAAUACCACCCCGUUUGGCUUCUCCUGAGAUGGGCUCUCACUAUAACCCUGGUCUGGAACUCCUGGGCUCAAGCCAUCCUCCCACUUUGGCCUCCCAAAAUGCUGGGAUUAUAGGCGUGAACCACCACAUCUAGCCUAAAAUUAUAUUGUCAAAAGACUUUGUUUCUCAGUUUGGGAUAACCAGAACUCAUAGUUCUGAUCUCAACUACCAGUUUUAAUGAGGUGCUUCUUUCUAACUCCAUCAGCUGUUUUGCUAUCUGCAGAUACCACCCACAUAAACAAAAACUUUUUGGGAGUCCUCCAGAAUUUUUAAGAGUUAUCUAAACUAUUGCCUUUACCAACUGGGAACUCCGAUUUGAGAAGUGUUACCCUACGUUAAGCCAACAGCAGCCUGGCUCCUUCGUGCUGUGCAGUGUGGGACAGAGCUGGGUCCUUGUUGUCAUCAGCCAGACAAGCACAUAUUAAAGCCCUCCUGAGCCAUCGGCAUUAGAGCUUUAAAAUCAGCUCCAUCCUACCAUGCUGUCAGUCAAUCAGGUGAUCUUAAUGACCAGAUCUACAUAUCCUCCCUCCAUGCCCCCACCCCCACCACCCGCCAAC